RNAcentral lists this ribosomal RNA (254 nucleotides) under uncultured bacterium. RNAcentral's name for it is "partial 16S ribosomal RNA". It matches the Rfam family "Bacterial small subunit ribosomal RNA", at positions 524 to 776 of the family's 1533-position model. The record is from RNAcentral.
UACGGAGGGUGCAAGCGUUAUCCGGAUUUAUUGGGCGUAAAGAGCUCGUAGGCGGUUUCGUAAGUCGGAUGUGAAAACUCCAGGCUCAACUUGGAGACGCCAUUCGAUACUGCGAUGAUUUGAGUCCGGUAGGGGAGUGUGGAAUUCCUGGUGUAGCGGUGAAAUGCGCAGAUAUCGGGAGGAACACCGGUGGCGAAGGCGGUUCUCUGGGCCUUACCUGACGCUGAGGUGCGAAAGCGUGGGGAGCAAACAGG